This 804-nucleotide ribosomal RNA is filed under the name uncultured bacterium. RNAcentral describes it as "bacterial SSU rRNA". It matches the Rfam family "Bacterial small subunit ribosomal RNA", at positions 8 to 796 of the family's 1533-position model. The record is from RNAcentral.
AGAGUUUGAUCCUGGCUCAGAACGAACGCUGGCGGCGCGCCUAAUACAUGCAAGUCGAGCGAGAAGGUGUAGCAAUACACUUGUAAAGCGGCGAACGGGUGAGGAAUACAUGGGUAAUCUACCAUCGAGUGGGGAAUAACCAGCCGAAAGGUUGGCUAAUACCGCGUACGCCUCCGGAUCUUCGGGUUCGGAGGGAAAGCCACACUGUGAGUGCGGCGCUCUUUGAUGAGCUCAUGUCCUAUCAGCUUGUUGGUAGGGUAAUGGCCUACCAAGGCGACGAUGGUUAGCUGGUCUGAGAGGAUGAUCAGCCACACUGGAACUGAAACACGGUCCAGACUCCUACGGGAGGCAGCAGUGAGGAAUUUUGCGCAAUAGGGGAAACCCUGACGCAGCAACGCCGCGUGAGUGAAGAAGGCCUUCGGGUCGUAAAGCUCUGUCAAGUGGGACAAAAUCCUGUGGGUAAAUAGCCCGCAGGAGUGAUGGUACUGCUAGAGGAAGCACCGGCUAACUCCGUGCCAGCAGCCGCGGUAAUACGGAGGGUGCAAGCGUUGUUCGGAAUUACUGGGCGUAAAGCGCGUGCAGGCGGUUCGGUAAGUCAGAUGUGAAAGCCCUGGGCUCAACCCAGGAAGUGCAUUUGAUACUGCCGAGCUAGAGUAUGGGAGAGGAGAGUGGAAUUCCCAGUGUAGAGGUGAAAUUCGUAGAUAUUGGGAGGAACACCCGUGGCGAAGGCGACUCUCUGGACCAAUACUGACGCUGAGACGCGAAAGCGUGGGGAGCAAACAGGAUUAGAUACCCUGGUAGUCC